Molecule: long non-coding RNA, 1063 nt
Organism: Mauremys reevesii (Reeves's turtle)
Lineage: Eukaryota; Metazoa; Chordata; Testudines; Geoemydidae
Exons: 3
Source: RefSeq, a predicted model, not a curated record
CACCCCCUUCCUUCUUCCAGCCCAGCUGCUAUAUUCACAUGUGCUGUGCAGCUAGAUCAGCUGCUUUAAAGUGCAGUUCUGCUCACUGGCACCACUUUCUGUAAGUGGGAUGGGUAAGCAAAGACAAACUAGGAGUGGCCACAUCAGCUAAAGAGAAGGAUGACUGGACACAAAAUCCAAGGCAGCACCAGCCAAUGUAACAGAGUAGCAGAUCUGAGAUGUUCACCUACUUGGUGUGGUCCAGUAGACAGAGUACUGAACUGAGAAUCAAGAGACCUAAGUUGUGUUGCCAGAUCUGCUAUUGACUCUCUGUGACGAUGGGCAAGUCAUUUAACCUCCCUAUGCCUUGGUUUCCCCAUCAGGAAAUGUGAAUAAUAAAUGUUUCCCCUUCUGUGUGAAGCAUUUUGAGAUCUACAGAUGAGGAGCACUGUAUGGAUGCAAAAUGUUAUUAUUAAAAUGUUUUCCUCUCUUGCUACUAACAUCACCCCCCAUUUUAUGUGGAUUAAGCUUGAGAGAGAGCUGCUUUUCAUCCACAUCUGCACCGCUUGCAGGCACUGAGAUCACUGUGUGAAGGGGUUGCUCACUUGUGAUGAAAAGGACUUUCAGAGCCAAUUAAAGUUCACAGACCCAACAUUUAUUCUCUGGCACAGUUGGUGCAAUUCUUUUAGUAAGGAAGGUUUUUUCAUUGUCGUUGAGCAACUGUAGCGGCAGAGAAGCCUUCCACCAUAAGAGCUAGUAAUCGUCCUGGCUCAAAACUAAUUCCUGGAGCGGGACAGAGGGAGUUAGCCUUUAUAUAAACAGUAGAUUUAAUUUUCUAAUGUAAACAACUCUCUGGGAUAAUCAAAGCAUCAAUAUUCAAUGAAACAUUAAACAACACAAGUUUACAUGUAGUAGUAUAUUCAGAUACACUGGCUGCAUUGCUGGUAUUACUGACAGUGGAUUUUUUUUUUAAGGCUUUAUUUUCUUAGUGCUCUUUCUUGCCAUUAGCAUCUUCACCCUGGUGAAAUUUGUAUAUAGGUAAUGGACACUUCACUUGCUCACACAAGGAUGUGCAAUUUUUCUU